Molecule: ribosomal RNA, 253 nt
Filed under: uncultured bacterium
Lineage: Bacteria
Description: partial 16S ribosomal RNA
Rfam family: Bacterial small subunit ribosomal RNA
Source: RNAcentral
UACGUAGGGAGCAAGCGUUGUCCGGAAUCAUUGGGCGUAAAGCGCGCGUAGGCGGCCAUGUAAGUCCGCUGUGAAAGUCCAGGGCUCAACCCUGGGAUGCCGGUGGAUACUGUCGGGCUCGAGUCCGGAAGAGGAGUGUGGAAUUCCUGGUGUAGCGGUGAAAUGCGCAGAUAUCAGGAGGAACACCAAUGGCGAAGGCAGCACUCUGGGACGUGACUGACGCUGAGACGCGAAAGCGUGGGGAGCAAACAGG